Molecule: ribosomal RNA, 315 nt
Filed under: uncultured eukaryote
Lineage: Eukaryota
Description: partial 18S ribosomal RNA
Rfam family: Eukaryotic small subunit ribosomal RNA
Source: RNAcentral
CCCUUAGACGUUCUGGGCCGCACGCGCGCUACACUGACCAGUGCAACAAGCAUCCGUCCUUGGCCGACAGGCCCGGGCAAUCUUUGAACGCUGGUUGUGAUGGGGAUAGACUUUUGCAAUUUUUGGUCUUCAACGAGGAAUUCCUAGUAAACGCAAGUCAUCAACUUGCAUUGAUUACGUCCCUGCCCUUUGUACACACCGCCCGUCGCACCUACCGAUUGAAUGGUCCGGUGAAGCCUCCGGAUUGGCGCGCACCUCGGUGCCGCCGAGAAGUUGGCUAAACCUUACCAUUUAGAGGAAGGUGAAGUCGUAACA